CUUAACAAUAUGCUCUAAUUCCCAAUCUUGUUUUAUGAAGAGAUUUCUGCCUUCUAUAGGCUGAUCAAAAUAUAACAUAUUUUCUUAACUUUGAAUUACAGGUCUUUCUUGAAUUUAAAACUGACGCAGAGCUGAUAUAUCUCCUUUGACUUCUGCCAUGAUUAUGAGGCCUACCCAGCCAUGCUGAACUGUAAGGCUUCUGAGAUUAUAAAUAGUUUCAGAGGAAGACCUACUUCUUUUGUGUCAACUACAAUCCCACAGCAGUUGGAGUAUCAAAAAUGACUUCGAUCUGCAACUGAAAGAAUCACAGCAAGCUCUCAUUGCACCAAGUAGGUAAAUUUUCCUUUCUUCUUAAAAUGCAUGUUUCCAUGUCAUAGAGGAGAAGGUGUAUUGCUUUAAAAACUAAUUUCUGUAGAU
This is a long non-coding RNA of Callithrix jacchus (white-tufted-ear marmoset), 417 nucleotides long. RefSeq lists it as uncharacterized. The record is from RefSeq and is a predicted model, not a curated record. NCBI's taxonomy places the organism in Eukaryota, Metazoa, Chordata, Mammalia, Primates, Cebidae.